UCGCUGCAUCGCUCGCUGCAUCGCUGCAUCGGCAGUGAAUUUCAUCAACCGCCUGCUGGGCAACAUGCUAGGGUUGCUGUCUCUCAUGGGAGAAGAACUUGUCUUCGUUGCUUUGUAUUUAUUUUCAGAACUUAUUAAGAGACUUUAAGGACUUGUUGGAACAUCCAGUGAAGUUAUCCUGGACGGUUUGUUUAGUUUUUUUAGCAGUGAGUGUGGAGGAGGAUGCAGAGGAGGCUCAGGAGAGUUGGACGACAGGGUGAACAAAGCUGCGUUGAAUCGGUUUGACUGCAGAGAUGAGACGAGCCGGCUUCCAGCCGCUCUCUGCCAGUUGCUUAGUAACUGGUGUUUUCAGCUAAAGUCUACAGUCAAAAUGUCCAAAUUAAAGAGGACCUGAAGGGACAGGUGACCAACACAAACACAUUCCUCCCAGCGACACAAAGGGACGUCGGCGGCAGCGCGGCGUCUCGCUGACAUCAACAGCGGGGCCCCCUCAGGCGACCUGCACACCCUCUGCUGUAAUGGGCCUCCUCAUGGUUGGAGGUCUCCUGUCAAAAACCCCCCGGAGAAGAGCGAGGGCUUGGAGUGGGAAUAAAGAAUGGGAUGGAAGCGGGAGCGCUGCUCUGCUCUGGGCCAGGUGUGAACGCUGGAAGGUGGCACGGUUCGCUUCCUGAGUGGAUGAAGACAUCGAACCUAAACACAACGGGCAGAUUUCUGCUUUAUUCUGGGUUCAGACAGAUACUUUAGGCCUCUGGAGGAGAGGUGCUAAACCUGAAGCCUGCUGUAAAAACACAAAAUCUUAGCAUAUUUUUUAUCUAGUUUCUGGUUCAAACAUCUUGAAAUAAGACAAACUAAUUUAUAAGUAUCUUUUUAGCAAGAUGUUUUAAGUACAUAAUUCAUUAGUUUUGGUGAAAAAGUUUGAGCAAGGAAAAUUAAAGACGUUACCUAGCAACCCCAGCUCGUCUCCCAGCAACCAGCAACUGGGGGAAGUGACAUCAUCAAUCACCGGAGCCUUUUCAUCAACGUUAAGGAAUUAUUUACUGAAAAUAAAAUGUUUGCCAUAUUUCACGUGUAAUCAGAUAUUUGCACCAGAAACUGGACCAGAAAUUCUUGGUGAGAUUUUGAGUUUUUACAGUGCUGAAACCAACUUUUAGCUUUUUUUUUUUUUCUCCAUGCAGACGGGCAGAAAGCCUGGAGCGAUCUUCCUCCCUCCUCCUCUUCCUCCUCAGCAGGACCCAAUCUCUGCUCUUCGCCUGGUAAACCUUUAGGUUUCUGAAGAUCUCCGGAGGGGAGCGUCGCUGCAAGGAAGGUGACCGAACCUUUACCUGAAAGGAACAAAGAACCGACAUAAAGUUUUACAGGAUGGUUUUCUUUUUUUAAUUUCCUCUCUGAGGGGGAAGGAGACUUUUCUUCCUGUGUUCAUCAGAGCCUCUGCUGAUUGAAAUCAGCAGGAUCAGGAGGAAUCGAGGAUAUGAAAUCUUAUCCAUUUGAAUUAUGGCUGGAUUGUAUUGUGUUAAAAGUUGCAGGAAGGAUUUUUUAUUUUUUUUAUUAUUAUUAUUAAGUUCUGGAGCGCCUCGCGUCAAUCCCAGACAGAGAUCUCCAACAGAGAUGGAGUAUAAAACUAUUCAUUCAUUCAUUUAUUCAUUUAUUCAUUCAUUCAUCCUCCCGCCCUCCCAUCAGGGUGUCUUCGGAUUGAAGCUGUAACCAUUCAACGGUUUCUUAAACACAUUUUUCCAUUUAAUUACAGAAGGAAUCACCGUCUCUUCACUCUCAUUAACUCAACGUCUCUAAUUGCUGUUUAAUGGCAGUUUGUGAUUUAUAAUAUUAGCUUCUCAGCCAUGAAUCAACUGCUGUAUUUAACAAAGUCUACAUUUUAUAUCUUUAUUUAUAAUUAAGAUUUCAUCUGCAAAAGUAUCAGAUAAACUCCGUCUUAUUUGCCUCACAGAAAACAUGAUAGUGGUAAUUAAAAAUCUAUACAACCAUGUUAAAAUUUCAGCUUUAUUGAUGCAAACAUAACUUUAUUUUAUCAUCUGGGGUGAAGAAUGACCUUUUAAACGGUGAUUCUGAUUUUCUACUGGCAAGAGUUUUAAGUUGAUGCAUAAUUCUGAAAACAGAAUUAAGAGAAUUUCAACAUUUUUAUUUAUUUAUUAUUCCCCCUUCAAGAUUUCAGUGUGUAUCUAAAGUGGGAUAUAUUGGUCACAAAUCCACAGAGUAGGAUUAGAGCCACAAUAAAAGAGACUUUAAUAACAAAAUUCUGAUUUUAAUCUAAAAAAUCUCACAGUUUUUCUCUGGAAUCUGACUUUUAAUCUCAAAAUUCAGAUUUUAAAUUCAGAAUUCUCAGAUUUGAAAACCCAAUCUGGGAUUAAACUCAGUUAUUACUUUAAAAUAUUUUUUUUUAAUCCCCUUUUUCUCAGAAUGAUCACUCUAAUCUCAGAAACCUCACUCAUUUAAAAAAAAAAAACAUGGUGUUAACACUGAAAUCUACCGAAUAAAUUCAGCACAGGCUUACAGUGCAGGUUUGCAAAUCAUUUGUUUCAUAAUUUAUUUUAAUUUGCUAACGUAAGAAUGUUUGGUUAUUAAUUUGAAUUUACACAAAAUUAGAAAUAUAAGUUGAGUUCUUAGAUAAAAGUCAAAAUUUGGGAUUUAAAGUCAAAAAUGCAUAGAUUUUUUAUUUUUUUUUUUUGUAGGUAGCACUGAUCUUCUUCCAUAGAAAAUACAAAACAAAACCUGCCAUUUCAACAGGAGUGUACAGGUUUUUAUACCCACUCUUGUAAAGCAGAAACAUUUAUUUUCUGAGUGUGAUGACACUCAUAACCACGCAGUUCACUUCAUAUGCCUGUCUUGUAAACACAGUCACUCAUAGGGAGGAAAUGCUGCCCUGCACAAACUACUGCUGACUGUCCCAGCGUCUCACUGCCAAACUAAACCUCUCCUCCAUCCCUCCGUCCUCUCUGCCGAUUUAUACCUUUACUCGUUUUAUCUCCUCUCCUCUCCCUCCACUUUCAUUGGAUUUUUUUUAAUCUCCGCUGGCUUUGCCACCUUGACAGGUAAAUACAUUUGAGUUGCUAAAGCUCAUAAAGGAGUAAAAUGGUGAUAAAGGAAGAAAAUAAUUCUCCAAGACGUCUCACUGUCUUAUCUUUCCACUUGCUCUCGCGCCUGUCUCCCCUUGAAAGAGCUAAAACUCUCAUUACUUCGCUGUCAGCUGCUGCAGAAAGAAAGAAGAAAAAAACCUCUGUAGGCUUUUCACUGCAAAAACACAAAAACCUCACCGAGUAUUUCUGGUCUAAUAUCUUAGAAAACCUGAAAUAAGGCAAACUAAAUUAAAAUGAAAAUGAAAAUGAAGCAAGUUGUAUAGAAGCUUGUUUAAAGUAAACCAUUCCUUAUUAUUGAUUAAAAACAAGUUUUUUCUAUUAGCAGGAAAAUUAUCUUGUUUUGUGGGGAAAAUGUAUUUUUAUAAGUGAAAAACCUUUUCACCAAUAUUUAAGUGCACCUUUAGCUAAGCUAAUUUUUAGUAAAUAAUUUCUUCAUAUUGAUUUUAAGAAAGUAGUUCCAUUUCCAGAUUAUUUAACUUAUAACAUGACAUUCUUCCCAUGUCAUAAUUUAAUUUUAAAAAAGCAUUUUUUCAUCAAUGUUAAGGGAUUAUUUACUUAAAACAAGCCUUCAUAUUUUGCUGAAGAUUUACUUUUGAGUAAUUUAAACUAGACCAAAAUUACUUGGUGAGGUUUUGUGUUUUUGCAGUGUUAGUGAAGUUGGAUUAAGAUGCUUUAAUUUUUAAACAUUCAUAAAUCCACACAGUGUGUUUCAGUUGACAUUGAGACAACUUUUCUUAUUUUGUUUGAUAUAAACUUAAUUAUUUUAGCUUUGGUCUUCGGAGACUCAAGACAAGCAUUUAUUUUUUUAAACAUAAUUUCAAUUGGUAUUUAAUUUAAUUUAAUUUAUUCAUUUAACAUUUGCAACAUGAGAUCAUUACUUUGUUUUAUGAGCUACUGAGAAUAAAUUAUAAUUUCUUUACUUAUUUAAAAUGAACUAAUUUUUUAUGGUAUUGUCAACAUUUCUUUAAAAAUGAAGGUGUCCAGAAAAGAUGCAUUUUUUACAAUAUUGACUGUUUUCAGUGGACAUUGUCUGAUGAACCAAGGCUUGUGCAUCUAUUUAUGGAUUCUGUACUUUUCUAAACUGCAUUCUGCAUAUUAACAAAAAGAAAUGUUUACAGCUCAUAGCAAAAACAUCACGUUCAGUCUAAUGUAUUUACAUGUUUCAUAAUGGAAGGACAUGGAAAUGGAAACAUUUACCAAAGGAGUCGUUGCUUUUAGGCUUCAAAUGCAUAAAAUUAAAAAAAUAUAAAUGGGUAAAAACUACAGAAAAGGAUUAGAGUCAUUGGAAGAAUAAGAAUUUUGGAAGUAAAGUCGCAAUUCUUAAUCUCAGAAGUCUGAUUUGGUUUUUCCUUAGAAUUCUGUUUUAAUUUCAGAAAUCUGAACUUUUUUUCAUUUUAUUACAUAAUUUUGACUUUUAUCUCAAAAUUCUUAAUCUCUGAAUUUUGACUUUUGAUUUUGGGAAAUUAAAGAUGGAAUUCUGAGAAAAAAGUUUAAAAAAUUUCUUUGGUGACAUUUUAUUUGACGGGUUGUGAAUAAGACUGUCAUGACACCAUCAUAAACAUGUAAUAACACUGUUAUAAACAUGUAAUAACACCUGUUAUAAACACGAGUAAGUGUUGAUGUAACUUACUGAAUGUCACUUUACAUGACAACAGUCAUAAAUAUUGAUAAAGACUUACUCCUGUUCAUGACAGGCAUUGUGACAUGUUCAUCACAGGUGUUGUGACAUGUUCAUCACAGGUGUUGUGACAUGUUCAUGGCAGGUGUUAUGUUUAUGACAGGUGUUAUGACAUGUUCAUGGCAGGUGUUAUGACAUGUUUAUGACAAUGUCACGACAGUCUUAUUCACAACCAAAUAAAUAUCAAAUAAAGUGUUACAUUUUCUUUUUUUAGUGGCUCUGACCCAAACAGUUGCUGUGAGAAGAAAAGACAUUUUCUUUGUGUUUUUUCUGUUCAAGCUGCAGCUGUUCAACUUUUCUUGCAGGAGUCGAGUCUUCGGUAAAACUUUGUGUCUUUAAACCCUUUAAUUCUGCCGUCUGCCUUUCAAACCAUCCUCACCUUUCUCUCCCUUCUUCACUAUUGUUUUCUCCUCCGCAGCUUCAUCCCCUCUCUCUCUUUGCAUCCUUCCUCUCUCUGUCCUCCUCUUCCUCUUUGCCUUACACUAAGUCUGUUUACAUAGGAUUAGAAACUCAAGCAGUGCUCUUGCUGAUGUUUUUUACCCUUUAAGGGAGUCGGGACAGGAAAUCUGUCUCUACUGAGUGUUUGUUUAUAACGUGUGCGUGUUUGUGCUAAACUUCGGGCCUGGCCGCGGCUUCGUAGGUGAAUUUCACCCUGAGGCUGUUGGUUUACUCUUUACUUUCACACCGUACUUGAAGGAAAAAUCCACCUGGAAACAUAGCAGAAUAAUUGGGUCCUGUUGCAAAAAGGCAUAGAGGUUGGAAGUGUCAGAGGGUCUGGGGGCUGGAGAUGGAAACAAGUUCUACAAAGAAAAAUAACUGCAAAGUUCAUUAAAAAAAAGUACAUGAAGCAGACACCUCCAGAUUUAUGAGAGAAAAUGUACUGUAAAAAGUCUGAAAGAAAUGUGCUUAAAAUAUUGCAUGUUUCAGUAUGAACAAUAUUUUACAGGUUGUUGGUUUUGUCCCCAAAUUAAAUAUUUGUAAAAACGUUUUAAAAGAGGUGUGUGUGGUUAUCUCCACUAAACUGCCAUCUUGAAAAACAAAUAAAUUAUAAGACAGUAAUUAUCUGAAAUUUCACAAUCUGGUUACAUUAAGCCAAAACUUUCACCAGGUGAUUCAUCUCUGUUAGAGAAUAAAACUUUACAAUCUAACUUUCAAUCAUCUAUAUCGUUGCAUAGGGCUGAUUGAUGAACAACCCUGGGAGAUUAUUACUUUUGACUGCCAAUAAUAAAUCAAUUGCUCCUUAGAGACUCUACAUUGAUAACUGAGGAGCUUACACUCGUGCUACACUAUGCAAACGCUCAGUCUGCACAGAUGAAAAAACACUUACCCCGGUAUGUUGAAUGGGACAAACAAUGGGAGCUGACCCUAUUUUCUAUGAAUAAAAAAUAUUACAGCCAUCAGAGGAAAAGUCACCAAGACAACAAGUCCUCUUUUUAUUUUCAGUUUAUUUGAAAUGGAACUAACCAUCUUUAUUGAACCUCUUAUAUUCAGAACCAUCAACACUUUUCUAAAGACACCGACACCCUGAACAGCUCAUACUUCAUUUAUUUAACAGUAUCUAAAUUUAUUCUUGUUUGGACUUAUGCAAAACAUAUUUUAGACAUUUUUUUCAGCAUCGGUGACAAGACAGGUGCCUAAACAAUGGCACCUAGUGGAGCAGCUGACCCUGCUUUGUACAUCAGCCUCUAUGGCACCAAUAGGAAACCAUAUGACAACAGGUUAAUAAUUAUUUGUCCAAAAUGGUUGCCUCAGCAGAUUAAACAUGUCCUUACCGUAUUGUUAAAGUUCUCACUAGCUGUGUUCUAGUUAGCAGCACAGAUCGUUUACUGCUAGCUUGUAAACCACUACAAGUUCAAUUGUCAAAUAUCUAGUUUACUAAACAAGCUAGUUCUGAACUAGCUUGUUUAGUAAACUAGCUAGUGGUUUAACAUUAUCUUAUUAGCUAAUUGUUCACUGGUUUACACCAAGUUGGUGUAAACGACAACAAAGUAGUUGUGGUACAAGCUAGCUAGUGGUUUACUUCUAGCUUGAGCAUUGGUAGCUACCAAUGCUAAUCCAAACUCACCAGGAAUAAUAUAUGAAAAUAAUUAAUUUCAGCUUUUAUUUCUGUGCUGCUACAGCUAGUAGACUUUAUGUUGUUAAAGAAGAAUUGUGAUACUUUAGUAAAGUAACUUUUUACAUCCUUCAGCCUUCGCUUCCUGCUGUAAUGGCCGCGGUCAUCAAACAUCAAUGUUGUUUUUAAGUCAGAAGAAAACAGCAUUUUGUUUUUCAGAGCUCACCAAGGUGCAUUUUUCCUUCAAGUACCGCGUGUUGGGAAUUAAACUGUGAAGUCUCCUGUUUUAAAUGCGCUUUUUGAUGACUAAAUAAUGAACUGUUCACUCUGGUCUUUUCAUGUCUUGUGGCUUUGAAAAGGUGUCACCUACAGUACAAGAACAAACUGGUAUAAAGUUUAGCUCAGUGUUUUCAGGGUUUUUGUACCAGUUAUACGUCCUGCUCUCUGCAGUGUUUCUCUAUCUGGUGACAACUGUGAAUUUCUCUUUGGAGUCGCAACAAAAAAAUCAGAAAACAAAUAAUUGGUUCAUUUUUGUUUUGUUUUGUUUUUAUUUUCUCAAAUUUACAUUUUUGGUAAUAAAGUUAGCUGCUUCACGGAAACAAGUUACUUUCUGCAAAACAGGAAAUGUAAUUGGUCUCAACACUGUUAUGUUAAAAACAAGCAAAUAAAUGUCAGACGCUAAGGAUAAAAAAAUGCACAACUGUUUUAUUUUUUUACAGAAUUAUUUAAAGCUCUGAGUAGCUUUAAAAUUUGUGUUUUAAAGAUAGCUUUAAAGAUGACUUUUAAGCUUUUUUAAGAAAAACAAAGUUUAAAGGUAAUCUUAUACUGUUUAGCAAACAUUUUCUAUGAGGUUAUAAAUACAUUUUGCAUAGUAGCUGUUAAACAUUAUGUUAAAUUAUAACUAAAUAUUUUGUUUUAAUGGGUUUUCAGAGUAAAACACUCAGUUUUUAUGUUACAGUUCUGAGCCUGCAGAUGACAAAAAAUGUAUUUUUUUAUGUUUUGUCUUUCCAGCGGUUUUGAUUUCUUUGCUUACAUAACUGUGUGAUGCGGUAAUCUCUCAGCUGUCGCUUUAAUCUGCUGUUUUUUACAGUGAAGGUGACGUGCAGACUGUGUGUCAGUGUGUGAUCAGAGCUUCAGUGCAUUCUCCCAGUGGUUGCAAGUCGUCACGUUAAAACCCGAGGAGUAGAUUUACCUCCCUGCCUUCUGUUUCUGUCUGACGCUGCACUUCUGUUUUGUAAAGAAAUAAAAACUCCUGUUGGGUCUUAA
Molecule: long non-coding RNA, 8086 nt
Organism: Poeciliopsis prolifica (blackstripe livebearer)
Lineage: Eukaryota; Metazoa; Chordata; Actinopteri; Cyprinodontiformes; Poeciliidae
Exons: 2
Source: RefSeq, a predicted model, not a curated record